AAACCUUGCCCGAACCAACACCCAUUACAGUCGUUGGAGUGCGCUAGCAUCUUUUCAAAAGGAAGUUACGUCUCUCUAGCAAGAUUUCUCACUGAAAAGAUGAAGACCAUUUGUGUCCUGUUCGUUCUGGUGGUGAUCUUCUCCUUGGUCCUUGCACAUGCAGGAGAUAAUGUCGAGGAAGGAUUGAAUGAAGAAACGGAUCUGGAAAGACGGUCUGACUGCUUUCCUGUCGGUCACUCUUGUACCAAGAACUGGACUUGCUGUAACACUGAAGGUGGCAUUCCCCACUGCGGCUGGGACUUUAAAUGUUACUAAUAAUCAGGCGACAUACCGAUGCAAAGGAUGAAAAGACUUGGAUAGAACCUUACAGCAUCCUUCUGCACCACCUUCGUGCUGUUCUGUA
Lineus longissimus is the source of this 403-nucleotide long non-coding RNA. RefSeq lists it as uncharacterized. The transcript has 4 exons. The record is from RefSeq and is a predicted model, not a curated record. Lineage: Eukaryota; Metazoa; Nemertea; Pilidiophora; Heteronemertea; Lineidae.